UCCUACGGGGGGCAGCAGUGGGGAAUAUUGGGCAAUGGGCGCAAGCCUUACCCAGCAAUACCGCGUGAGUGAAGAAGGUCUUCGGAUUGUAAAGCUCUUUGAUCAGGGACGAACAGAUGACGGUACCUGAAGAACAAGCCCCGGCUAACUACGUGCCAGCAGCCGCGGUAAUACGUAGGGGGCAAGCGUUAUCCGGAUUCACUGGGUGUAAAGGGAGCGUAGACGGCGACGCAAGUCUGGAGUGAAAGCCCGGGGCCCAACCCCGGGACUGCUCUGGAAACUGCGUUGCUGGAGUACGGGAGGGG
Molecule: ribosomal RNA, 305 nt
Filed under: uncultured bacterium
Lineage: Bacteria
Description: bacterial SSU rRNA
Rfam family: Bacterial small subunit ribosomal RNA
Source: RNAcentral